RNAcentral lists this long non-coding RNA (201 nucleotides) under Brachypodium distachyon (stiff brome). RNAcentral's name for it is "long non-coding RNA (BDIS_LNC000369)". The record is from RNAcentral. Lineage: Eukaryota; Viridiplantae; Streptophyta; Magnoliopsida; Poales; Poaceae.
AUUUGCUCGUUGCCUGGUUCGUCGCCUACUCUCGCCUCGGUGUCAUGAACCACAGAAUGGUAGAACUAGUGUUAGAGAGAGAAACAAUGCGACUAAUCCACUGUUAAAGAAAAAAAACUAAGCCGAUGGUGAAGCGUGGUUGACUACAGCUGUGCGGCUGCAUUCUACGGGUGAUGCAAUAUAUGUUACUGGUGUGGAGUC